CAGGGGGCAGCUAUACAUGCAGUCGAGCGGACCGACGGGAGCUUGCUCCCUUAGGUCAGCGGCGGACGGGUGAGUAACACGUGGGUAACCUGCCUGUAAGACUGGGAUAACUCCGGGAAACCGGGGCUAAUACCGGAUGCUUGAUUCAACCGCAUGGUUCAAUCAUAAAAGGUGGCUUUUAGCUACCACUUACAGAUGGACCCGCGGCGCAUUAGCUAGUUGGUGAGGUAACGGCUCACCAAGGCGACGAUGCGUAGCCGACCUGAGAGGGUGAUCGGCCACACUGGGACUGAGACACGGCCCAGACUCCUACGGGAGGCAGCAGUAGGGAAUCUUGCGCAAUGGACGAAAGUCUGACGGAGCAACGCCGCGUGAGUGAUGAAGGUUUUCGGAUCGUAAAACUCUGUUGUUAGGGAAGAACAAGUACCGUUCGAAUAGGGCGGUACCUUGACGGUACCUAACCAGAAAGCCACGGCUAACUACGUGCCAGCAGCCGCGGUAAUACGUAGGUGGCUAGCGUUGUCCGGAAUUAUUGGGCGUAAAGCGCGCGCAGGCGGUUUCUUAAGUCUGAUGUGAAAGCCCCCGGCUCAACCGGGGAGGGUCAUUGGAAACUGGGGAACUUGAGUGCAGAAGACGAGAGUGGAAUUCCACGUGUAGCGGUGAAAUGCGUAGAGAUGUGGAGGAACACCAGUGGCGAAGGCGACUCUCUGGUCUGUAACUGACGCUGAGGCGCGAAAGCGUGGGGAGCGAACAGGAUUAGAUACCCUGGUAGUCCACGCCGUAAACGAUGAGUGCUAAGUGUUAGAGGGUUACCGCCCUUUAGUGCUGCAGCAAACGCAUUAAGCACUCCGCCUGGGGAGUACGGUCGCAAGACUGAAACUCAAAGGAAUUGACGGGGGCCCGCACAAGC
Molecule: ribosomal RNA, 910 nt
Filed under: Bacillus sp. (in: firmicutes)
Lineage: Bacteria; Bacillati; Bacillota; Bacilli; Caryophanales; Bacillaceae
Description: bacterial SSU rRNA
Rfam family: Bacterial small subunit ribosomal RNA
Source: RNAcentral